Molecule: ribosomal RNA, 406 nt
Filed under: uncultured bacterium
Lineage: Bacteria
Description: bacterial SSU rRNA
Rfam family: Bacterial small subunit ribosomal RNA
Source: RNAcentral
UGGGGAAUUUUCCGCAAUGGGCGAAAGCCUGACGGAGCAACGCCGCGUGAGGGAUGAAGGCCUCUGGGCUGUAAACCUCUUUUAUCAAGGAAGAAGAUCUGACGGUACUUGAUGAAUAAGCCACGGCUAAUUCCGUGCCAGCAGCCGCGGUAAUACGGGAGUGGCAAGCGUUAUCCGGAAUUAUUGGGCGUAAAGCGUCCGCAGGCGGUCUUGUAAGUCUGUCGUUAAAGCGUGGAGCUUAACUCCAUUUAAGCGAUGGAAACUGCAAGACUAGAGUGUGGUAGGGGCAGAGGGAAUUCCCGGUGUAGCGGUGAAAUGCGUAGAUAUCGGGAAGAACACCAGUGGCGAAGGCGCUCUGCUGGGCCAUAACUGACGCUCAUGGACGAAAGCCAGGGGAGCGAAAGGG